UACGUAGGUGGCAAGCGUUGUCCGGAUUUACUGGGUGUAAAGGGCGUGUAGGCGGGACGGUAGGUCAGAUGUGAAAUACCCGGGCUUAACUCGGGGGCUGCAUUUGAAACCAUCGUUCUUGAGUGCUGGAGAGGGAAGCGGAAUUCCUAGUGUAGCGGUGAAAUGCGUAGAUAUUAGGAGGAACACCAGUGGCGAAGGCGGCUUUCUGGACAGUAACUGACGCUGAGGCGCGAAAGCGUGGGGAGCAAAC
Molecule: ribosomal RNA, 250 nt
Filed under: uncultured prokaryote
Description: partial 16S ribosomal RNA
Rfam family: Bacterial small subunit ribosomal RNA
Source: RNAcentral